Molecule: ribosomal RNA, 427 nt
Filed under: Scotinoecus cinereopilosus
Lineage: Eukaryota; Metazoa; Arthropoda; Arachnida; Araneae; Hexathelidae
Description: partial 16S ribosomal RNA
Rfam family: Archaeal large subunit ribosomal RNA
Source: RNAcentral
UUCUAAUUGAAUCAUAAUUAGUAGGACCUGCUCAAUGAAAUUUCAAUAGCCGCAGAAUUUUCUGUGCUAAGGUAGCAUAAUCAUUUGCCUUUUAAUUAAAGGCUGGAAUGAAAGGUUGCACAUGUUAAUUUCUUUAUUCAUAAUUUUAUUUAAAUUUUACUUAAAUGUAAAAAGGCAUUUAUCAAUUUAAGAGGGACGACAAGACCCUAUCGAGCUUUACUUUAGUUGAGCUGGGGUGGCAAAAAACAAAAUCUUUUUUUUUUAAUUAUCCAAUUUCUUGAUCUUUAUCAAGUUACCGUAGGGAUAACAGCAUAAUUUUUUCUUAUAGAUCUUAUUUUAGAAAAAGAUUGUGACCUCGAUGUUGAAUAUCUAUCUUCCAGGAGCAAUAUCUUGAAAAGAAAGUCUGUCCGACUUUUAAAAUUUUACA